GAUGAACGCUGGCGGCGUGCUUAACACAUGCAAGUCGAACGGUGAAGGCGGAGCUUGCUCUGCUGGAUCAGUGGCGAACGGGUGAGUAACACGUGAGCAAUCUGCCCCUGACUCUGGGAUAAGCGCCGGAAACGGCGUCUAAUACUGGAUACGAGCUGCGAAGGCAUCUUCAGCAGCUGGAAAGAAUUUCGGUCAGGGAUGAGCUCGCGGCCUAUCAGCUUGUUGGUGAGGUAAUGGCUCACCAAGGCGUCGACGGGUAGCCGGCCUGAGAGGGUGACCGGCCACACUGGGACUGAGACACGGCCCAGACUCCUACGGGAGGCAGCAGUGGGGAAUAUUGCACAAUGGGCGAAAGCCUGAUGCAGCAACGCCGCGUGAGGGACGACGGCCUUCGGGUUGUAAACCUCUUUUAGCAGGGAAGAAGCGAAAGUGACGGUACCUGCAGAAAAAGCGCCGGCUAACUACGUG
This 468-nucleotide ribosomal RNA is filed under the name uncultured bacterium. Its description in RNAcentral is "partial 16S ribosomal RNA". It matches the Rfam family "Bacterial small subunit ribosomal RNA", at positions 28 to 507 of the family's 1533-position model. The record is from RNAcentral.